GGCACCCGCUGCGUCUCACCUGGAAGUUGCCCACUAUGGAUGUCCCUAGAGCACAGAGAAGUCCCGACCACAGGAUCAACUGGUUAUGCCACGUUGCGACGCCCCAGUCCCGGAGCUGGUGAUAACGCACAAUGCAGAUCCAGGCGGCUGGGAGGACAGGGAAGUGGGCUGGGAGUCCCCAGCAAGGUGGAGAUGGUGGAAGGGGAGGAUAUGGGUCCAGGGCUGGGGACAAUUCCCGGAUUUGAGCGGGGAGAGCUGGGGCCUGGACCCCUGGGCCUGAAGCAGGAGGGUUGGAGCCUGGACCCUGGGUCCCAGGGAGGAGGACUGGGAACUGGCUUAGUUGGUUUGAGCUCCAGGAAUGGAAGAGGCUUGGAAACAUUUACCCAUAGCAGCUCCCACAUUGAGCAGCUGGCUGAAGAUGCAGCUCUGCGGGGGAUAGGAUCCACAGAAGCUGUGGAAGGUAAAGGGUCAUCCAACGGCUCCUCCAAGGCGGAGCCCCACAUUCCUCCUGCAGGACCCUGCAGGCCAUAACCACCUGAUGAAGGGGAAGCCUUUUGAGAGGUCCACAGUCCCGUUGACCACCGAGAUUCCAAAACUGAGGUGGGAGGAACACACCAAGGUGAGUAAGGGACUUUCAAGCACUUUUCUUUCUGUUAACCCAAUACUUCAUUCUGUUAACAGAAUAAACCAGAACUUCUAGACCCCUCCUCCCUCAGACCCAGAGGUCCAGGCCCAGCCUCCUCCCUCGGACCCAGGGCUCCAGGUCCAGCCCACCUCCCUCAGACCCAGGGGUCCAGGCCCAGCCUCCUCCCUCAGACCCAGGGGUCCAGGCCCAGACUCCUCCCUCAGACCCAGGGGUCCAGGCCCAGACUCCUCCCUCAGACCCAGGGAGGACCAUCUGGCCUCUGCCACUCACACGAUCCAGACGCCAGCAAUAGCCCACAGUGCCAGGAAGACAGGCAGAAGGGACAUGUAGCCCCACAUGCUGGGCUCUGCAGAGGAAGGAGAGGGGCUGGAGCUGGGACCGGCAACUUCUCUGUUGUGCAGGCGAGGGCCCUGGCCUUACACAGUCCCACCCCUUCCGAAACUCCCUUGGUAGGUUUGGGGCUAGUGAGCCUUCAGGGAAGAAAGGCUGGGAUUCUGGGUGGGGCAGGGGCGGGCGGGUCAUCCAGUUCUUCAGAGGCAAAGUCCAGGCCCCAGUACUUGGAGGACGGUGUUCCUGUUCAACCUUGGGUCUGACUGGCCACUUUUUAUGGCCUUCACCCGCAAACCACUACUUCCUGUCUCCUCAGAACUCAGCAGGCAGCACCUUCAGGGAGCCCCUAACUUCCUUCCUCCAGUUUGUGGGUUCAACUUCCAAACUCCUAGCGUUUAUCCUGCCCCAGCCCCAGAAAUCUAAGCCUCCAGAACUCUCCACGCUCUUCCCUUGGGGACCCAAGGGUCGAGGCCCCGAGUCCUCUCCUCUCUGAAGACCCAGAGGGCCAUCUGGGGCCACAGUUCCUUCUGGAAUACCUGCAUUCACUUUAGCUCCGGGGUCCAGCCCGCUCUUGCCUGUUCUGGGAGGAGGAUCCAGGCCUCAUUUGAGGAGUCCUCCCUUCUCCCAGCAUUUCUGUCCGUGGGCUGCUGGAGGUGAGGCCCUGGUGUCCCGCCUCCACCCACAUUGUCUGCCCUCUCCCUUUCUUUUUCUGCUAUGCUGGAGUUCCCCAGGCAGGCCGAGUGUGGGUGGGAAAGGGACCUUAGUGAUGAAAUCUGCAUCUGAAACCCUCUCAGACAGCUCGACUUCCUCUGCUCUGACCAUUUUCCUCUUCCAGGCAGCCGCCCUCAACUUCUGGCCUCCUCUCCUGUACUACCCAGGUGUUUGAGUCAGGUUUCUCCUGCUUCCUCCAAGAUCCAAGGAUCUAGGCCCCAAUCCUCCCCCCUCAAAUCCAAGUGCUCCUGCCUCGCCCCAGGGAGCCAAACUACCUCCUCCCUCAGCAUCUCUGCUUAAUUUUGUUUGUUUAAUGCAGGUGGAAUUUCCAUAGCAUAGAAUCACCAUUUUGAAGUUCAUAAUUCAGUGGCAUUUAAUACACUGGGUCUCACUCAGUUACCCAGACUGGCCUCAAACUUGUGAGGCCCUCCUGAGUUGGGAUUGCUGGCUUGUGCCACCAUGGGCAGCCCAGAACUGUUUGCUCACCCAGGAGCAGACCCAACAUCCACGGAGCUGUCCUUACCUCUCCCCAGCCUGACCCCCAUCGGAAGGCCACUUGCACAGUAGACGCCACUUCUGGGUUUUUCACGUCAGCGGAAUUGUUCGCUGCAUCCUCUGGCUGCAGCCUUUGCCGAGCACAGGGCUGAGGCUCCUCGCAUUGCUGUGGCUUGAAUGGGACACAUCCCCUCUGGCACUCAGGUUCAGACUAGAUCUCCACCCCAGCUACUGAGAGCCGGGCCAGGCGGGGCCUUGAAAAGGUGGGAGGCUCAGCCCUUGUGAGCGAGUAGACAGUAGACGGCUCCCGGGAUCAGCAGCUCAGUACAGCAUCUGACUCCUGGCCUGGUCUGGCCAGGUCUCUCCAGCGUCCCUGUCUCCCACCAAAGGGUGCCCUGCAGCCUCUGUGGACUGGGCCAGCAGGAAGGCCAGCCCCAGAUGUAGCCCCUAACCUUGGACCACACCAUGAGCAACAAAAAUCCUCUUUUCUUCGUAAGUGACCCAUCUGUGGGAUAGCACUACCCACAGUGGAACACGGCUGAUACAGGCUGUGCCCUCUAUCACAGAUCCAUUCUUUUUUAUGGUUAAGUUACUGUCUGCUGACACCAUCUCUCAGGACUCAAGAACGAAGUGUGUUCAUCAGCUUUCUGUUGCUAUGACAAAAUACCCGAGGUAAACCACUUGGAGGAGGGAAGAUUUGUUUUGGUUCAUGCUUUCAGAGGUGUCAGUCAUUGGCUGGCUGACUCCACUGCUGGGGCCUGAGGUGAGGCAGAGUGUCAUGGUGUAAGGGCAUGGCAGAACAAAGCAGCUCAAUUCAUGGCAGCUGGGAAGCAGAGAGAGGAAGGAAGAACCAGGGACAGGUCCCCAAGGGCACCCCCCGCCAAACCCAGUCCCUUAAACCUCCUAAUAUGGCAUCCAGCUGUGAACCAUCAUUGGGCUAGUCCACUGAUCUGGCGGUUCUCAUCAUCCAACCACUCCCCACACACCCGUCUCUGAACACUGCUGCACUGGGGACCAACUUGUCAACAUGUGAGGCUUUGGGGGGGGGGGCAUUCCAGAUUCACUCCGUGACACUAAGGCCCCAGGCUGGCAUGUUGGCACACCUGUGAUCCCAGGUACUCCAGAGGCUGAGCAGGAGAGUGGCAAGUUCGAGUCCAGCCAUGUCAACUUAGCGAGACCCUGUGUCAAAAUAGAAAGGGCUGGGGGUGUAGUUUAGUGGUAAAGCACCCCUGGACUUAGUUCCCCAGUACCACAGAAAAUAAAUGAUUCCAAGGCCCUAAGUGCUAUGGAUUUCCAGUGUCCCAGUAACUAGGACUUAC
Molecule: long non-coding RNA, 3501 nt
Organism: Sciurus carolinensis (gray squirrel)
Lineage: Eukaryota; Metazoa; Chordata; Mammalia; Rodentia; Sciuridae
Exons: 3
Source: RefSeq, a predicted model, not a curated record